UGUCCUGCAUGGUUUGUCUCCCCAGUAACGGCCCAAAGGACUCUGGGAAGGCGUAGGAAUAUGCAGGACGCUCGCCGCGCCGGCCGACGGGCAGCCGGGGGCGGAGCUUACUAUCCGACAUCGUGGAACGGGAUUGGACGUCAUGGCUCAGAGCUGCGCUCCCAUUGGCCACCAGGACAGAGCUGGAGGCCACGCCCCCAGGUGUCCAUGUCGGGAAAACGUUCAGCAGAAUCCCACCUUAGCUGCGGUGAUGUGCAGUUCCCUCAGCUGGGCCUUCAGGUCGGA
Long non-coding RNA from Xiphophorus hellerii (green swordtail), 285 nucleotides. RefSeq lists it as uncharacterized. The record is from RefSeq and is a predicted model, not a curated record. NCBI's taxonomy places the organism in Eukaryota, Metazoa, Chordata, Actinopteri, Cyprinodontiformes, Poeciliidae. The transcript is spliced from 2 exons.